RNAcentral lists this long non-coding RNA (674 nucleotides) under Sorghum bicolor (sorghum). RNAcentral describes it as "long non-coding RNA (SBIC_LNC017025)". The record is from RNAcentral. Lineage: Eukaryota; Viridiplantae; Streptophyta; Magnoliopsida; Poales; Poaceae.
CGCGACGCAAACCUUGAUUGUGUGAUUCGCGUUCGUGUUCUUCGCGUUAUUGUUUUCCCCCUUCUCAUUCUAGCCUCGAUUCGCUAUUUUGAGACCGAUUUGAUUCGUUCUUUUUGCGUUGGCUUGAGCUAUGACGUGAGUGAAGGCUUUCCACCGAAGGAAAUCAACUAAAUCCUCAUGAGCUCAUAGAUCAGGUUGAUUUCGUGGCUAGGUUUUAAGAAAUCCCUUUUCCCUCGCCCUCUUAAUUUUCCCAUUGAUUGGCUUUAAAUUGGGCGAUGAUCUCCUAGAGCUAGAGGUAGCUCACUUAUUGCUUUGUGACCAUGUGGUUAAAAUCUUGUGGCAAUUGGUUGUAAUUUGAUAGCUCAACAAUCGGAUUUUUGGUUGGAGACGAUUUUCAGAGCUCUCUGUUCUUGCUGAUUCGCGAUUCGCGGACAGUCCGCCAGUGAACUGCGGACAGUCCGGGUGUCGGGGACAGUUCUGCGUGGUUUCGGGUGUUUCUGAGUGUUCGAACUGUGGACAGUCUGGGAAUUAUUCGUGAACAGUCCGCCGUUCAUUUUUCUCCAAGACUCAGAACCGAUCCAGCAAGUUCGGGUUUCUGAUUUUUAAACUGCGGACAGUCCGCGGUACUAUAGCAGACUGUGCAGUACUGUAGCGGAUAGUCUAUGGUACUGUAG